GUCCUUCCCAAAGGGCAUUCCUGGGGCUAGCCUAUGCUUCACAUUACCGUCUUGCUUACUGAGAGCCCUUUAUUCAAGCCACUGCUCAGCAAAUGUCACCAUUGUGAGUUUGCCUGCAGCCCUUAGGUUGAGAAAAGCGAUUUCCCUAUGGGGAAAGGGAGGGUGGACCUUCCUCCUGCAUGAAAUGUUGAUCCCAGAGCAAUACAGUGGCACUGUCAGGGGACACUUGUUGACUGACUCUCUAUGGAAAAUGAGGGCAAGGGCAAAGAUUCUGGUGUGGCAUGGCAGUGUGCCCUGUCAGCACCCACACAAAAUUCCUCAGAAAAUUACUUCUCCCAGGAUGGGUUCUGGCCCUUCUCAUCAUCUGAGGGGCAUCUCUUCUUUCUAACGUGUGGCCAUGCUGUAAUCUUAGGGGUGUGGGAUCUGCUUGAUGCCUAUAAAACAUACAAAAGUGUGUGUGUGUGUGUGUGUGUGUGUGUACAUUUACACAUGUGUAGUAUCCAUUAUGUGCUUCCUGUUGGAAAUUGCUGUAGUUUGGGGAAGACUGUAUAGAUAAAUGAAAGCUACAAAAGCACUUCCUCAUGCAUGAAAAAUACAUAAAACUUUGAAAAUAAUUUAGCUCAUUCUGAGAAAUAACAUACAAUGUGAGCCCAGUGCUUCACCCAAUGGAUAACAGUGAUG
RNAcentral lists this long non-coding RNA (681 nucleotides) under Marmota monax (woodchuck). The record is from RNAcentral. Lineage: Eukaryota; Metazoa; Chordata; Mammalia; Rodentia; Sciuridae.